RNAcentral lists this ribosomal RNA (484 nucleotides) under uncultured bacterium. RNAcentral describes it as "partial 16S ribosomal RNA". It matches the Rfam family "Bacterial small subunit ribosomal RNA", at positions 28 to 507 of the family's 1533-position model. The record is from RNAcentral.
AUUGAACGCUGGCGGCAUGCUUUACACAUGCAAGUCGAACGGCAGCGCGGGCUUCGGCCUGGUGGCGAGUGGCGAACGGGUGAGUAAUACAUCGGAACGUGCCCAGUAGUGGGGGAUAGCUCGGCGAAAGCCGGAUUAAUACCGCAUACGACCUGGGGGUGAAAGCGGGGGAUCUUCGGACCUCGCGCUAUUGGAGCGGCCGAUGGCAGAUUAGCUAGUUGGUGGGGUAAAGGCCUACCAAGGCGACGAUCUGUAGCUGGUCUGAGAGGACGACCAGCCACCACUGGACUUGGACCCCGCCCCGACUCCUACGGGGGGGCGCAGUGGGGAAUUUUGGACAAUGGGCGAUAGCCUGAUCCAGCAAUGCCGCGUGUGUGAUGAAGGCCUUCGGGUUGUAAAGCACUUUUGGCGGGAACGAAAAGGACUGUGCCAAUACCACGGUUCGAUGACGGUACCCGCAGAAUAAGCACCGGCUAACUACGUG